RNAcentral lists this ribosomal RNA (251 nucleotides) under uncultured Pasteurellaceae bacterium. Its description in RNAcentral is "partial 16S ribosomal RNA". It matches the Rfam family "Bacterial small subunit ribosomal RNA", at positions 85 to 339 of the family's 1533-position model. Lineage: Bacteria; Pseudomonadati; Pseudomonadota; Gammaproteobacteria; Pasteurellales; Pasteurellaceae. The record is from RNAcentral.
UUGAUGACGAGUGGCGGACGGGUGAGUAAUGCUUGGGAAUCUAGCUUAUGGAGGGGGAUAACUACGGGAAACUGUAGCUAAUACCGCGUAAUAUCGAAAGAUUAAAGUGUGGGACCUUCGGGCCACAUGCCAUAGGAUGAGCCCAAGUGGGAUUAGGUAGUUGGUGAGGUAAAGGCCUACCAAGCCGAUGAUCUCUAGCUGGUCUGAGAGGAUGACCAGCCACACCGGGACUGAGACACGGCCCGGACUCC